CGGUUGGGCUGGGCCUCGGACCUCGGACGAGGUAGGGGUGGUGCUUUCUGGAGACACGCCCUGAGAGUCAUGGAGUUACGACUGGGGAUGUGGUCCUGUCUGGCUGUAGCACCCUGAGCCUGCUGACUCCCACACUGCAACAGCUGAACCACGUAUUUGAGCUGCACCUGGGGCCAUGGGGCCCUGGCCAGACAGGCUUUGUGGCUCUGCCCUCCCAUCCUGCCGACUCCCCUGUCAUUCUUCAGCUUCAGUUUCUCUUCGACGUGCUGCAGAAAACGCUUUCACUCAAGCUGGUCCAUGUUGCUGGUCCUGGCCCCCCAGGGCCCAUCAAGAUUUUCCCCUUCAAAUCCCUUCGGCACCUGGAGCUCCGAGGUGUUCCCCUCCACUGUCUACAUGGCCUCCGAGGCAUCUACUCCCAGCUGGAGACCCUGAUUUGCAGCAGGAGCCUCCAGGCAUUAGAGGAGCUCCUCUCAGCCUGCGGUGGCGACUUCUGCUCUGCCCUCCCUUGGCUGGCUCUGCUUUCUGCCAACUUCAGCUGCAAUGCACUGACCGCCUUAGACAGCUCCCUGCGCCU
This 574-nucleotide small RNA is filed under the name Pan troglodytes (chimpanzee). Its description in RNAcentral is "processed transcript". Lineage: Eukaryota; Metazoa; Chordata; Mammalia; Primates; Hominidae. The record is from RNAcentral.